Molecule: ribosomal RNA, 253 nt
Filed under: uncultured bacterium
Lineage: Bacteria
Description: partial 16S ribosomal RNA
Rfam family: Bacterial small subunit ribosomal RNA
Source: RNAcentral
UACGGGGGGGGCAAGCGUUGUUCGGAAUUACUGGGCGUAAAGGGCUCGUAGGUGGCCAACUAAGUCAGACGUGAAAUCCCUCGGCUUAACCGGGGAUCUGCAUCCCAAACUGCUUGGCUUGAGUACGGGAGAGGAUAGGGGAAUUCCUGGUGUAGCGGUGAAAUGCGUAGAUAUCAGGAGGAACACCGGUGGCGAAGGCGCCUAUCUGGCCCGAUACUGACGCUGAGGCGCGAAAGCUAGGGGAGCAAACGGG